This 253-nucleotide ribosomal RNA is filed under the name uncultured bacterium. Its description in RNAcentral is "partial 16S ribosomal RNA". It matches the Rfam family "Bacterial small subunit ribosomal RNA", at positions 524 to 776 of the family's 1533-position model. The record is from RNAcentral.
UACGAAGGGUGCAAGCGUUAAUCGGAAUUACUGGGCGUAAAGCGCGCGUAGGUGGUUCAGUAAGUUGGAAGUGAAAACCCCGGGCUCAACCUGGGAACUGCUUUCAAAACUGCUGAGCUAGAGUACGGUAGAGGGUGGUGGAAUUUCCUGUGUAGCGGUGAAAUGCGUAGAUAUAGGAAGGAACACCAGUGGCGAAGGCGACCACCUGGACUGAUACUGACACUGAGGUGCGAAAGCGUGGGGAGCAAACAGG